GGAUAUAACCAACGGAGACGCCAUGUCUAUAAUUUUCGGUACAAAAUAGUCUGCCGUUUUUUGCGGGGGAGGGGCACAUCAAAUGUAUACGUAACGUAAACAUAGCCAUGUCAGAUAAACGUCAGUCCAUACAUGUGGUUGACCAUUGGCCGCCUAUUUUCGACAGAGGGGAACGCCUGUUAAUGACCACUCCGUUGUUUUUUGCUUUCUAUUUAACACAAUUGGCACAAGAAGGUUGUCGAGUUAAACUUAUUUAAUUUAAUUAAACAACAGGAUUAACCAUAGGCUUCCCUUCUAAAGCUAACAAUAUGUUGUUUGCUGAAAUUCUGGACAUCAUGUUUCUGGUCUCGUUUGUAGCGCUGCCCAAAUGAGGUACAAUAACUGUAAAA
Long non-coding RNA from Cydia fagiglandana, 389 nucleotides. RefSeq lists it as uncharacterized. NCBI's taxonomy places the organism in Eukaryota, Metazoa, Arthropoda, Insecta, Lepidoptera, Tortricidae. The transcript is spliced from 2 exons. The record is from RefSeq and is a predicted model, not a curated record.